UCUAAUAUGGCAGAAAAGUGCAAUGGAUUUAAGCUCCAUAUAUAAAGAUUCAAACCUUUUAUUAGAA
RNAcentral lists this transfer RNA (67 nucleotides) under Kamimuria klapaleki. Its description in RNAcentral is "tRNA-Leu". It matches the Rfam family "tRNA". From Rfam's summary of the family: Transfer RNA (tRNA) molecules are approximately 80 nucleotides in length. Their secondary structure includes four short double-helical elements and three loops (D, anti-codon, and T loops). Lineage: Eukaryota; Metazoa; Arthropoda; Insecta; Plecoptera; Perlidae. The record is from RNAcentral.